This 72-nucleotide transfer RNA is filed under the name Tuber borchii (whitish truffle). It matches the Rfam family "tRNA". Rfam says of the family: Transfer RNA (tRNA) molecules are approximately 80 nucleotides in length. Their secondary structure includes four short double-helical elements and three loops (D, anti-codon, and T loops). The record is from Rfam by way of RNAcentral. Lineage: Eukaryota; Fungi; Ascomycota; Pezizomycetes; Pezizales; Tuberaceae.
AGCAACAUGGCGCAGCGGAAGCGCGCCGGGCUCAUAACCCGGAGGACGCAUGAUCGAAACAUGCUGUUGCUA